This 447-nucleotide ribosomal RNA is filed under the name uncultured Allobrachymonas sp. RNAcentral describes it as "bacterial SSU rRNA". It matches the Rfam family "Bacterial small subunit ribosomal RNA", at positions 929 to 1382 of the family's 1533-position model. The record is from RNAcentral. Lineage: Bacteria; Pseudomonadati; Pseudomonadota; Betaproteobacteria; Burkholderiales; Comamonadaceae.
GCGGUGGAUGAUGUGGUUUAAUUCGAUGCAACGACGAAAACCUUACCCACCUUGACAUGGCAGGAAUCCUAAGAGAUUUGGGAGUGCUCGAAAGAGAACCUGCACACAGGUGCUGCAUGGCUGUCGUCAGCUCGUGUCGUGAGAUGUUGGGUUAAGUCCCGCAACGAGCGCAACCCUUGCCAUUAGUUGCUACGAAAGGGCACUCUAAUGGGACUGCCGGUGACAAACCGGAGGAAGGUGGGGAUGACGUCAAGUCCUCAUGGCCCUUAUAGGUGGGGCUACACACGUCAUACAAUGGCCGGUACAGAGGGUAGCCAACCCGCGAGGGGGAGCCAAUCCCACAAAGCCGGUCGUAGUCCGGAUCGCAGUCUGCAACUCGACUGCGUGAAGUCGGAAUCGCUAGUAAUCGCGGAUCAGCAUGUCGCGGUGAAUACGUUCCCGGGUCUU